Molecule: long non-coding RNA, 3120 nt
Filed under: Oreochromis niloticus (Nile tilapia)
Lineage: Eukaryota; Metazoa; Chordata; Actinopteri; Cichliformes; Cichlidae
Description: lncRNA (ENSONIG00000040286.1)
Source: RNAcentral
AAACCUGAAACAACUUCUUCACCCUGGGUAGUUGCUACAGGCCCUCCAACUGCUGAUGCUAAUGUAGGCCAGCUGAAAACCUUGCAGCUCCCCAGUCCUCCGGAAUAUGUUGUGUACACCGACAGUGAGUUGGAGCAAUGCCGAAAGAGUUACCUGGAGUUGGCCUGCUCCGGCAGGGAACAAGCAUGCGUCAUGUCAAAAGAACUGAGAUGCAGAUUGGUGAGAAAUACAAUCACAAGUAUGGUGUCCCUUUUGAGAGCAAGCCAAGGCCAAAUGGAGUGAUACCCCUCUAAGACCGAAAUCACUGCAAUGGCUAAAAAAGUUGUGGAAUAUUAUCCUAUGCUGCAGGAUAAUGAUGCAAGCGUAAAACACGAGAGCAUUAAUGCCAAGUUACAAAAAAGGCUGCAAAAUAUGAAAACCCCAGUAAAAAGGCAAGGACCAACACCGGAGAGGGGACGGCCCAAGAGAAGGCUCACUGACCUCUCCCCAAGGGAUGAAGAAGCUGAUGAUGAAGAUGCUGAUCGCAGUUCUUCCAGUGGUGCAUCUACUCUGUUAUCACCUGUCAGAAAUUCUGACGAUGCCUCCACUUCAUCUGACAAGGAUAGUCGGCAAAUACAAGCAAGACAUUACAAAACAUUACAAGAAAUGUGCAAGAAGGCAAAACCAAACCAAGAAGAUGUGUCCCAGCUAUUAGACCUCGAGUUUGAAGCCAGAAGAUCCUUCAUUGACUCAGACACCAUGAAAGAGGAGAACAGAGCUCGCCUCAUCUUGGAUGCAUAUCCAUGCUUUAAAGAAUUGCAUCAUGCAUUGGGUGAGCUUCGCAGAAUUUUGGAUCCCCACAACAAGUUCAUCAGUCAAAUAAAACUGAGAUGGGAAGAAUUCUGCUCCAGGGUAGAGUUCUACGGUGUGUCAAAGAAGGCAAUGAAUCCACCAAUGACCAUGGACAAAACUGAAGCCCACCUUGCACUGAUGAAGGCUCUUCCAACGCUCUUUCCCACACCUGCCCAUCCACCAAAAAAGAUGGGGAAUGCUUCUGAAGCAUUUCUACAUGUCCUGAAGCCUACAGAAGAUCCAGAUGCUGUCCUCCAGAAACGAAGCUUGUCAUGUCCAGUAGUGAUGUUCGAUGGCUGCAAGUGUGUCAUUGCUGUUGGUAAUUUACCAGUUACAACAUUUGACAAAGAAAAACUUGGUGAGGCUAUGAUAUAUGUGAUGGCAUACUUUUAUGCACUCCAUCUGACUUACCCCAAAUGCGUGGCAACCCUGCUGUCUGUCAUUCAGACAGAAGUUCUCCAGGAUGCCAUUCAUGAGCAUGACACUACAUCAUCUUACAGAAAAGCCCUGGCAGAAUGGCAUGCAUUUAUUGGAAAGUAGUGUGUAAAUUUCAGAUAAGAUUAUGAGAGGGCACUUUUGUUUUGUUUUUUGUUUUUUCAAUCUGGGUCUUAUUUCUAAAAUGGAAAAUGUUCAUUUACUCACCCAGACAAGAUCUGUGGUAUUUGGUGUCAUUCGAAAGAAAUUUGAAUCUUUGUGGUCUUCCUAUGUCACUCGUCAAUUUUAAUGGGGCAAUGGCGAAACCUCUAAGGCUGUUGAAAUGUUGAAACCACUUAAACAAACUCAUAAUGUUGGACCUGUACUGUUCAAUUGUAUCUUUAUUAUCUGCAGGUUAUUGUUAAAGUGGACAAAUAAAGAUGGACACUUUUGCUCUGUUUCAGUUUUGUUUUGUCCUUAAUCAGCAAUAUAAUCUUAAAGUAGUGUUUAGCUAAAUUUAAAAAGCAGAAAUAUCUUUAAAAUGAUUUAAUGUACUAGUUUUUAGACUAUUUGCCUUGAUUUGUUCGUUAGAAUAAGUGUUUUAUGCCUAUUUUCAGAUUUAAUUUCUUCAACAUUUUACUUAGAACAAGUGGUUAAAGCUUAUUUUUAGGUUUCAAGCCAUGAUUGGUUGCCUGGAAUAAGUGUAAAAGACUUAUUUUUAUCUUUAUUAUCUUUAUUUGUGGCCUACAAUAAGUGGUUAAAGCUUAUUUUAAGUUUCAAUUGUUCUGAUUUGUUGCCUGGAAUAAGUGUAAGAGACUUAUUUUUAGCUUUAUUAUCUUAUUUGUGGCUUACAAUAAGUGGUUAAAGCUUAUUUUAAGUUUCAAUGUUCUGAUUUGUUGCCUGGAAUGAGUGUAAAAGACUUAUUUUUAGCUUUAUUUAAAUCUAGAUAUUGUUCUUAUUUCAAGAAAUCUUGUUAAGAAAAAAACACUUACCCCAUGGGCAGAUAAUUUCACUUGUUUUAAGCAAAUCUUCACCAAAAAUAAGUGUAUUUUUCUAGUAUUAAGGAAGUGGGUUUUUGCAGUGUGUAUACUGAUCAGGUGUAGUGCGGUUGUUCAGUGUUCUGUAAUCAAUACAGAUUCUUAUAGCCCCAUUCUUUUUCUGCACAACAACAAUUGGGGAGGCAUAUGGGCUACGGGACUCUGUUAUAAUUCCAGCAGCCAACAGCUGCUGUAUGUGUCGCCUCACAUCAUCAAUGUCGGCUGGGGCUAGUCUCCUUGACCUCUCCCGGAAAGGUCUAGGGUCAUGUAGACGAAUGUGGUGUUCAACCCCUUUAGCCAAGCCAACGUCCCACUCAUGCAUUGAGAAGACAUUUCUCCUCUCAGCUAACUUCUGCCGAAGUCUACUUUUCCACUUCUCGGGGAUAGGGGAGUCCCCAAAAUCGAAGAGGUUUGGAUCUAUUUUCUCAGUGGCAAGGUCAGAGGGUUGGACUGGGGUGACUGUAUCCACGGCAAACAUUUCAGCAAUGACAGAUCCCACUGGUAUGGAGACUGUCUUUGUGGAUUCAUUUUGGAGGAUCACAUUCAAGCUAUUGCUGUCUAUGCCAGCAUCAGAGAGCACACCUGGCUGUACCAGCACGCCGGCAGGGAGUAACUGGGUAGAGGGUGCAUCGAUCGAGAUAAGGUCUUUGGAGGGGGCACUGUGCCUGUCUACUUUGCAGGUGGCAUAGCAAUUUGCUCCUGGGGCGAUAGAGAGAGGGCGGGGCCCUUUCCAUUUUAUCUGUCCCAGCACAUCAUUUUUUUGCAGUUGCUCCUGUGCCCUAAUGGGGGAAUACACAGACUGAAUUCUCAUAGAAUGAGCUGUGUUCUGGUCACCUUU